This 3982-nucleotide long non-coding RNA is filed under the name Meleagris gallopavo (turkey). RNAcentral describes it as "lncRNA (ENSMGAG00000019080.1)". Lineage: Eukaryota; Metazoa; Chordata; Aves; Galliformes; Phasianidae. The record is from RNAcentral.
AUGGGAGUUACCAACACAGUGUUUCCUAUUAUCCACAGCAGACUGCUCUGCUUCCCAGUGAGAAGGCACCACAGAGAGGUGGGGAAAUCUGCCGAGGAGCCAUGGCACAGCCUGUACCAUAACAUCACACUGGAUGCAAAAAGGCCGGAGCAGAGUGCAGGGCGAGGUAAAUGUGCGACCUGCAGCUGGAAAGAGCAAAUAAACAGGAGAACAGGGGUAAUGCUAAGGGCUGGGAAGGGGCUGGGUGGGGUUGAAGGCAGAAGCACUCUAAAGCCCAUGAAUUCUUCUGCAGAGACCCAUCAGAGGAAAGCUCUGCCCCCUGUCACCCACAGCAUGAUGUGCUGCCAGCUGCCCCACGAAGCUGCACGCCUCUGCUCACGCUCACAAAAUGCAUCCAGCGCUGUUCUGCGCAGGAAUUUACUGACGUCAGCAGUUCAUGGAAAGCCACCAGAUAUUAAAAAAAAGGUACUGGGAUUAAAAAAAAAAUACACGUAAAAAACGUAAAAUAUUAAUAGCGGCACUGACUUUUAAAAGCCUUGACAUAAGUAGAAAAUAGAGCUAGCCACAUUUCAUAAAUGUUUAAAGGAUGGAUGGUAUUCCGUGGCAAAAUGCUGUUCUCUGUGACAAGCAUGGAGGGAGCAUCUAGGGGCAGAGGGACUCAAUGACAUACAUUUGUCUUCUUGUGUAUUUUGGAACACGAUUUAUUCGUGUUCACUGAAAUGACAGCUUUUCUGGUAAUUUCUUCCUUUCCCAGAAAAAAGCCUUAAUCUCCUUACUGGAAAUUGUACUAUUUAUGCAGCAAAUCCUGCCUCUGAAAUUGCUUGAGAUCACAAGUUAUGUAACGUAAACAGAUGGAGUUAGACCAUUUUUUUUUUGUAUGUCAAUUCAUAUUAUAAUCUGAGCAGCCUAUGAUCGUUUAUCAGCUCAUUUGCAGUGCAGAGAAAUAGAUGGAGGAGUUUAACUAUGCAGUUAAUAUAUGCUCGCAUAGGAAUGCUUACACUCGCAACCAUCACUAAAAAGCAAUAAUAAUAAUGCUUAUUAAGGAUUUUCUUCAUUCUUAUGGACAGAAAAGCUCUGUGUGCCACAAAGUGCAUUUAUCAUGACCAUCAUCCCACAAAGACAUACACAUGACUUUACUUACACAGCGGAUAGAUACAGUUAUCUGCAGCUCUGGUGUGAAGUUACAUCUCUGAGAGUGUCAGUGAGAUCGAACAGAUGAAUGAGGGGCAGGAGGAGCUGGAGAGAAGCAGGCAGAGUGAGAAUCCUGAUGAAUGCUGCCCGCUUCGACCCUUCAGCAGCAUUAAGCAUUAAGUGAUGGAUCAUCCAUCCAGCUCCCACUGGCCUCGUGCAUUCCCUGUAGAAGUCAACAUACAACAUACAAUACCCAGUUUUAAAAUUCACAUUAGCCUAACAGUUCUUCUGCUAACGCUCAUGAGCAGGCAGAUAAAAUCCUGAAGGGCUCAAUUACGCUUGUGUAGAUUUUAUCUUUUUUUUUUGUUACUCGUGUGGAUUUUUUUGUUUCAUGUGAGUUUAAGCUAAAGUGAAUCCAGGCUACAGGGAAUUAAAUGGAAAAAGAGGAUGAAAAGGGAUGGAAGGGAAAGCUGGUAAACAGAGGUUUUUCCAAAAUAAGAUAACAAUGCAUGGUCUCUCUAAGUGUAUUUAAAACUAUGGGGGCUCAGUCAGACAUGUUUGGGGAAGGGAAGAAAAGAGAAAACAUUGAGCACAAAUCUGAUUUUCUAACAAGCCAAAGUUCAACCAGGGCUAAAAAGCCACCAAACCUAAAUAUAGUUUCAGUCCAACCACAUUUUAUACUUAUAUUCCAUUCUGUGGGAAUUCCCUAUAUGACACACUUGCAUAUUUGGGACCAAACUGCAAUCUAAGUCUCAACUCACAGUGAGCAGCUUUGCAAGGAGAGAGCUUUCAAGAAAAUCUCAGAAAACCGAAAGAGAACUCCUGCCAUGAUACAGCAUUUUCUGCAAAAGCAAAACCAUAACGCAGCUGUGGGUGCAGUUUUUCUUCUGGGACAAUCGCUUGCAAAUGGGGCAGAGGAUUCCAAGAUGUCCUAUGGAUGUGCUGGGAUGAUGGCAGCUCAGGUUUAAUUGCAAAGCAAAACCUUCCAUUCUGAUUCCAUUAUGGGUUCUGAAUUCCUUCACCUCCUCAAACUUCAAUUUUUCCAAAUGUAUUUAAGACUGCAGAGAGAACAACAGAUUUUAAUGAAUCAUCAAGUGAUUCAAGUUGUCGCAAAGAUGAACUGAUGGUAGAAGAAGUAAAACAUUUCAAAGUCAGCCCCAGUUUUAGUAAGGAAACAGUUUCUUGACCACGAUGCUAUACAGCAUCUCAGAGUCACAGAAUCACAGAAUCAUAGAAUCACAGAACUUUGGGUUGGAAUGGACCUUAAAGCCCCCCCGGCUCCACUCCUGCCAUGGUCUGGGUGCCCCCACCAGCUCAGGUUGCCCAGGGCCCCAUCCAAGCUGGCCAUUGGGCAUCUCCAGGGAUGGGGCACCCCCAGCUCUGGGCAGCAGUGCCAGGGCCUCCUUUCUUCUGGGUCAGAGACUUCACAUACCUGGUACUGCUAAUGUGAGAAAAAUUAUAAGGGGUUUACAAUUCAUUCUGGAUGUUGGCUGGUGAUUAAUUGAGCCCAAUGCUCUUCUGUUAGAAACAACUGCAGAGAGCCCCUUUUUUUCUUUUUUCACAAGAAAAGAAACAAGCCUAUGCUCCUGCUUGUAAAUACAUUGAAAUGUUCAGCUGAACAUUUAAGCUCAAGCUUAUAAUGUGUGCUUUCUUUAGAAUAGCUUGUCCCUGGAUGAUGUAAUUUGCUUGACUGGGUAUUUGCUACUCUUGCACAACUGUGUUAGUCAACCUAAGCAGAUUAAUCUGAGCACCAGCCUGGCACAUAGUUUGCCAAAUGGUUAUUCAGUGCCUUGCAAAAAAGGCUUUUUAUUUCAGUUUCCCUGUGCCCAAGAUGACUCUCAGAUGGAUGUCAGUCUGUUUGUGUGUAAGUAGGUCUCACAGCCCCGAGCACUCGCUGACUGGGCUGAGCCAGAUGUGGUACGAGCAAUUACCUAACAGAAGCAGUGCUAGGAGGAGAAAAACACUGUUUUCCUCUGUUUCUCCCUUAGGGCAGCACUGCAGCCCUGGCUGUGCUGACAAGUCACUGCCCAAAACUCCAGCUCACCAAAUCUCUUUAUUUUAGCAUUUGCGGAGGACUAGGGGGAAAAAAAAGAGGGGGAGAGGAGAAAAAAGGAGGCUUAUUUUUACUGGAAAUGAUUCUCAGCCAUGGGAAAUGGGACAGACUGAUCACCUUCAGAAAACAUCUCUUGCUUCAACCUAAAGCCCAGGCUGCAGAAGGCAGCGCCUGUUUGUAAGGCGCUCCAAAACGCUUCAGCACUGCUCCGUCCGCCUGCCCUCGGGGGAGAGAUAAUUAAGGCCGUGCUGUCUGAAUCAUUGAUUUUUUGGUUCACUGAUCAAAAACUUGUUUAAAAUCAAUUUGAAAUGAAAAUUUCACUCUUCUUUUGUUGUUGGGGUUUGGGGGAAGCAGAUGUUUUCCUUUCUUUUUGCUCGGAAUUAUUAAUGUAAUUCGGACAAUAAUAUUUACAGGAAAAAAAAACUGUUGUCAUUGGGACUAAGGUUAUUUCAGGAAAAAAUGAUCACUGUGCUGUAGGAGUUUGGUACUACUUCUAAAAAGCACUUCCUAAAUUCAGCACGGGUGACUCUGAAACUGCGUGGUCCUACAGUGACAUUUCUGCCUGGAUUUCUGAUGAUCUCAGUGUGCAACUCCUUGAUAUUUCUUCAUAUCGAAGGCUUUGAUCUGGCACAUCCAAUCACAUCUCCCUCUUGUGGCUACUUCCAAGGAUUAAAACAACCUGCUGUUAAUUCAGCAUUGUAUGGGAUUAUUUGGAUUGCUUUUUUGACUCACACACAGUUUUCCAGCUCAAAGACAGCAGAUGACAGUAAGGAGACAUUCGACGGGCCACAGCACAAU